This 96-nucleotide signal recognition particle RNA is filed under the name Bacteriovoracales bacterium. RNAcentral's name for it is "signal recognition particle sRNA small type". It matches the Rfam family "Bacterial small signal recognition particle RNA". Rfam says of the family: The signal recognition particle (SRP) is a universally conserved ribonucleoprotein involved in the co-translational targeting of proteins to membranes. Archaeal SRP consists of a 7S RNA and homologues of the eukaryotic SRP19 and SRP54 proteins. Lineage: Bacteria; Pseudomonadati; Bdellovibrionota; Bacteriovoracia; Bacteriovoracales. The record is from RNAcentral.
GGUCCUUCCGCUUUCAAAUGGAAAGUGGCCAACCCCGCCAGGCCGGGAACGGAGCAACGGUACGUCAUGGAACGUUGUGAGAGCAGGGGGGCCGUU